RNAcentral lists this signal recognition particle RNA (269 nucleotides) under Phascolarctos cinereus (koala). Its description in RNAcentral is "Metazoan signal recognition particle RNA (ENSPCIG00000019372.2)". It matches the Rfam family "Metazoan signal recognition particle RNA". From Rfam's summary of the family: The signal recognition particle (SRP) is a universally conserved ribonucleoprotein. It is involved in the co-translational targeting of proteins to membranes. The eukaryotic SRP consists of a 300-nucleotide 7S RNA and six proteins: SRPs 72, 68, 54, 19, 14, and 9. Lineage: Eukaryota; Metazoa; Chordata; Mammalia; Diprotodontia; Phascolarctidae. The record is from RNAcentral.
AUCAUGAUGGUGCUUGUAAUCCCUGCUACCAGGGAGACUGAGACUGGUGGAUCAUUUGAGCUCGAGAGUUCUGAACUACAGUGGGAUAUGCACACUAGGUCCAGGAUCAGUAUGGUGAGUCCCCAGAAGUGGGAGGGCCAUCAGGUUGUGUAAGGAGGGGUGAACCAGCCAUGGUCAGAAAUAGAGCAGGUCAAACAUCCUGUGCUGAUCAGUAAUGGGAGUAGCCCUUGCAUCUCCAGCCUGGGUGAGAGAGGGGAGACCUAGUCUCA